Molecule: unclassified non-coding RNA, 681 nt
Filed under: Hevea brasiliensis (rubber tree)
Lineage: Eukaryota; Viridiplantae; Streptophyta; Magnoliopsida; Malpighiales; Euphorbiaceae
Source: RNAcentral
GGAAAGGAAAGAAAAACGAAAAGAAAGAAAAGCCUGAACGGCACAAGGAGACUAAAAAACCCACCAAAAACUUCUUUCUUCUUGGAUUGAUCCACUGUCACUCCCUCGGACAUAGAAAUACUCAAAAUGUUCAGAGCCCUCUCUCUCAGACGUUCCUUCCAAUCUCUCCAUCACCACCACCCCUCUAUAGCUCUCGUCGCCGCCGCCGCCACCGCCACUAGCGGCACUUUGAAAGACCCAUUUAACCCACUACGUGCAUUCUCAACAUCCACUCAGCCUUCUUCUUCUGAUGCUGAGCUUCGCAAGUACCUAGGCUACACAGCGCUUGUCCUUUUCUGUGGAGCCGCCACUUACUAUUCCUUCCCUUUCCCAGAAAACGCCAAGCACAAGAAGGCCCAAAUUUUCCGCUAUGCUCCUCUACCCGAGGAUCUUCACACUGUCUCUAACUGGAGUGGGACCCACGAAGUUCAGACCCGAGCCUUCCACCAGCCCGAGGAUCUCCAACAACUGGAGGAGUUAGUGAAGGAAUCUAAUGAGAAGAAGGCCAAGAUCCGCCCUGUGGGGUCAGGGUUGUCUCCAAAUGGGAUUGGGCUGGCACGGGCGGGGAUGGUUAACUUGGCGCUGAUGGAUAAGAUUCUGGAGGUGGAUAAGGAGAAGAAGAGGGUGAGGGUUCAAGCUGGG